RNAcentral lists this ribosomal RNA (368 nucleotides) under uncultured organism. Its description in RNAcentral is "bacterial SSU rRNA". It matches the Rfam family "Bacterial small subunit ribosomal RNA", at positions 526 to 896 of the family's 1533-position model. The record is from RNAcentral.
CGAAGGAUCCAAGCGUUAUCCGGAUUCAUUGGGUUUAAAGGGAGCGUAGGCGGGUUUAUAAGUCAGUGGUGAAAGCCGAUCGCUUAACGAUCGAACUGCCAUUGAUACUGUAGACCUAGAGUACAGAUGAUGUUGGCGGAAUAUGACAUGUAGCGGUGAAAUGCAUAGAUAUGUCAUAGAACACCGAUUGCGAAGGCAGCUGACAAAACUGUAACUGACGCAGAGGCUCGAAAGUGCGGGGAUCAAACAGGAUUAGAUACCCUGGUAGUCCGCACAGUAAACGAUGAUAACUAGUUGUUUGCGAUAUACAGUAAGCGACCAAGCGAAAGCGAUAAGUUAUCCACCUGGGGAGUACGCCCGCAAGGGUG